RNAcentral lists this ribosomal RNA (370 nucleotides) under uncultured bacterium. RNAcentral's name for it is "bacterial SSU rRNA". It matches the Rfam family "Bacterial small subunit ribosomal RNA", at positions 527 to 896 of the family's 1533-position model. The record is from RNAcentral.
GAAGGGUGCAAACGUUGCUCGGAAUUACUGGGCGUAAAGCGCGCGUAGGCGGCUUUGCAAGUCGGGUGUGAAAUCCCCAGGCUUAACCUGGGAACUGCAUUCGAGACUGCAUUGCUAGAGUAUGGGAGAGGGAAGUGGAAUUUCCGGUGUAGCGGUGAAAUGCGUAGAUAUCGGAAGGAACAUCAGUGGCGAAAGCGACUUCCUGGGCCAAUACUGACGCUCAUGUGCGAAAGCGUGGGGAGCAAACAGGAUUAGAUACCCUGGUAGUCCACGCCAUAAACGAUGAGAACUGGAUGUCGGGAGGGUCUGCCUCUCGGUGUCGUAGCUAACGCGUUAAGUUCUCCGCCUGGGGAGUACGGCCGCAAGGUUG